UUGACCUCGAAUCAGGUAGGAAUACCCGCUGAACUUAAGCAUAUCAAUAAGCGGAGGAAAAGAAACCAACCGGGAUUACCUCAGUAACGGCGAGUGAAGCGGUAACAGCUCAAAUUUGAAAUCUGGCUCUUGCGGAGUCCGAGUUGUAAUUUGUAGAAGAUGCUUUGGGUUGUGGGUUCGGCCUAAGUUCCUUGGAACAGGACGUCAUAGAGGGUGAGAAUCCCGUAUGUGGCCGAGGCCCGCGCCUAUGUAAAGCUCUUUCAACGAGUCGAGUUGUUUGGGAAUGCAGCUCAAAAUGGGUGGUAAAUUUCAUCUAAAGCUAAAUAUGGGCCAGAGACCGAUAGCGCACAAGUAGAGUGAUCGAAAGAUGAAAAGCACUUUGGAAAGAGAGUUAAACAGUACGUGAAAUUGUUGAAAGGGAAGCGCUUGCAACCAGACUUGGGCGCUGCCGAUCACCUUGAGUUUUCUCGAGUGCACUCGACAGCGCACAGGCCAGCAUCGGUUCGGGUGGCUGGAUAAAGGCCGUAGGAAUGUGGCUCUCUUCGGGGAGUGUUAUAGCCUACGGUGCCAUGCAGCCCAGCCGGACCGAGGACCGCGCCUUCGGGCUAGGAUGCUGGCGUAAUGGUUGUAAGCGACCCGUCUUGAAACACGGACCAAGGAGUCUAACAUCUAUGCGAGUGUUUGGGUGGUAAACCCAUACGCGGAAUGAAAGUGAACGUAGGUGAGAACCCCUUUGGGGCGCAUCAUCGACCGAUCCUGAUGUCUU
Molecule: ribosomal RNA, 766 nt
Filed under: Erysiphe quercicola
Lineage: Eukaryota; Fungi; Ascomycota; Leotiomycetes; Helotiales; Erysiphaceae
Description: eukaryotic LSU rRNA
Rfam family: Eukaryotic large subunit ribosomal RNA
Source: RNAcentral